This 373-nucleotide long non-coding RNA is filed under the name Gossypium raimondii (Peruvian cotton). Its description in RNAcentral is "long non-coding RNA (GRAI_LNC008424)". Lineage: Eukaryota; Viridiplantae; Streptophyta; Magnoliopsida; Malvales; Malvaceae. The record is from RNAcentral.
UUGGCCAUUGCGGCGCUGGGAGCCAAAGCUGCUGAAGGCUAGGGUUUUCAGAUUUUAGUCUUUAGGGCUUAGGUGUUGAUUUUCUCUGUUUUGGGCUGCGAGUAUUUGGGCUUGGUUUUUGGGUUUAGGCUAGCUAGGUUUGGGUUAAAGCUGUUUAGGCUAAUCGGGUUUGAGUUAAAGCUGUUUUUUUUUUGGAUAGUGGAUUUGGGCCAUUAGGCCUGCUGUAAUGGACUGUGGACAUUUUAAGAUUUUGGGUUUUUUUAUUAUUUAUUUCUAAUUUAGGCCGGGUAAAUUUGGGUUAUUACAAUUAGCAUAAUAAUUUUAUUUUAAAUUAAUUUAAUAAUAUUAAUAUAUACUGAAUUUUACCUUGUUA